GAUGAACGCUGGCGGCGUGCUUAACACAUGCAAGUCGAACGGAAAGGCUCCUGCUUGCAGGGGUACUCGAGUGGCGAACGGGUGAGUAACACGUGGGUGAUCUGCCCUGCACUUCGGGAUAAGCCUGGGAACUGGGUCUAAUACCGGAUAGGACCACAUUUUGGAUGGUGUGGUGGAAAGUUUUUCGGUGUGGGAUGAGCUCGCGGCCUAUCAGCUUGUUGGUGGGGUAAUGGCCUACCAAGGCGUCGACGGGUAGCCGGCCUGAGAGGGUGUACGGCCACAUUGGGACUGAGAUACGGCCCAGACUCCUACGGGGGGCAGCAGUGGGGAAUAUUGCACAAUGGGCGCAAGCCUGAUGCAGCGACGCCGCGUGGGGGAUGACGGCCUUCGGGUUGUAAACUCCUUUCGCUAGGGACGAAGCGUUUUUGUGACGGUACCUGGAGAAGAAGCACCGGCUAACUACGUG
RNAcentral lists this ribosomal RNA (466 nucleotides) under uncultured bacterium. RNAcentral describes it as "partial 16S ribosomal RNA". It matches the Rfam family "Bacterial small subunit ribosomal RNA", at positions 28 to 507 of the family's 1533-position model. The record is from RNAcentral.